This is a long non-coding RNA of Alexandromys fortis (reed vole), 2803 nucleotides long. RefSeq lists it as uncharacterized. The transcript has 2 exons. The record is from RefSeq and is a predicted model, not a curated record. Lineage: Eukaryota; Metazoa; Chordata; Mammalia; Rodentia; Cricetidae.
CUCAGGACUUUCUGUGUUUUUGCUGGGGCUCAAAGGUAUGAGUCUAUUUUUACUGUUGUAUAGAUAUCUGUUAUUUGCUACUUCUAUAGUAUAGAAUUUAAUAUGGAGGGGGUGCAGAAGGCAUCACCGCUCCUACUUGUUAUAAUUGUGGAAAACCUGGGCACAUUCAAAGGGAUUGCAAGAAAUCCAAAAGCUCAGGACAAAAAUGUUUACCGGGCAUAUAUCCUCGGUGCAAAAGGGAAAAACAUUGGAGUAGUGAGUGUAAAUCAAAAUAUUAUAAAAAUGGCUCUCCUCUCACUAAAGAAGGAGAGGAAGAACCUAAAGAGCCAAAAAACUAGAACAGGGAUGUUCUAAUCACCUCGGGACGAGGGUAUGCUUAUGUGUUUCCACAGAAUGCUGACUCCCCAUUUGGAUCCCAGAUCGCCUCAUCCGACCUGCUGUUGCAAAACAGAAGAAGGAAAAGACGGUGGCGGAAGCAGAUGUGUCUGUCUGUCAUUUCCCUUGCAUCGUAUCCUGACUAUCCUAUCCUUCACCUUGGUCCCCCGUGGGUGGUGGUCUCCGAGAGGGACGGUCCGCGGCACCUCUCAACUCAAGAACAAAUGCAGAGGACCAGUCAGACACAGGACACAGUGGGCCCAGAGUCAUAGCACAAACAGGAGGGUCCCACCUCAGCUCAUACCACGGAGCUUCUCCCUGGACCUGGCUCCUGUGCUGACCUAGAAGCACAGUGACAAGGACCCUCUGCUUAGCCCUAUAGUAGUAAGGCUCCGGAACCUUCUAGGUCAAGCCUACUCUUCCUUGUAAAACUCAGCCUUGGCAAGGAACUGCUGUCUCCCUAGCCGAAGCCUAGAAACCAUCUUCAGGCUCUGAUCCGGUGACUCAGUCUCUAUCACUGCCUGAGAACUGUCCAAUGACUGUCCUGUCUGCUGCCAGAUAGUGUCAGACGGGUUGAGUCAGGAACCGUUUACACCAAUGUUCCCUCUAAAAGUAUAAUCUUAAUUAGUAAAAAAAAUGCAGCAGUUGGUAGGAAAAAAAAAAAAACAGACAAACUUGUUGUUAUAGUGAAAUAGUGGGGAAAAAAACCAGAGACUCCUAAAUAAUAAACAAGAACACAUGACUGGCUGUGUAACCCCAGUCAGCUUCCUAAAGCUCUUGGUCUUGGGUUUACUUCUUUGGCCUCGUUCACAAACUUACUCUAUCUGAAAUCUUACUUUUCUUCAUAUCAUGAAGUUCUGCUUUAGAUAAAUCUGGUAAGCUAUAAUUUUUUUAGGUUGUUUUGGCAAUUGAUGCUCAGUGUGGAUAAUGACUCAAAUUCUAGACGUAUUUCUCAUUAGAAAUACGCUCACAUCUAUAAUGUUUGAAGAUUCUAAUGGACAGGUUCAUGAAGAAGCCAGUGUGGUUUAAUAUUUAAGUGCCAUUUCUGUGCUGGUAACAAACCCAACCUUGGUGUUCUGUGCUCCAACGGCUCCGAACACGAAAGUCUGGGAUAUCCCAUCUCUUGCUUCCUGAACUUCAGUGUCCUGUGCACCUUGUCUCCAGCUUUCGCAUUUCAGCGUUAGAAGGCAUGUCUUUAAAGAGGCCCCACUGUGUAUACAAGGAAUGCAAUAUGCUGAGCUCAUAGCAGCAGGAUGGUGGCUGCCAAGGGUGGCGGGAAAGGCAGGUGAUAGUCAAAAGAUACAACCCUCCAAGUGAGCAGAAUUCCAUGAUAUAAACGCUGAGAGACAGUGAUGGGAGGAGAGAGACUUCAGCCAACAACUGAAACAAUCAGAACUGAGACGACAGAAAUGCUCUAAAUUUGGAUCAUGGGGGUUAAACCUCCGUGCAUUAGAAAAAUAAAACAGACGCCUAUGUGGAUGGAUCUUAAGGCAUAUAAAGUAUACCUCAUUAAAGUUGUUUUCUAAAUAAAGCUUUCUGCUUCCAAAGGAGAAAGAAAAACAAACUAACAUCAUUUUUAAGCUUAUUUUUGGCUAUUUAUUUUAAAUUUGUGGAUUUUCUCUGUUGGCAGAUUGCACUUUGCUACUCGAGGUACUUACAGUUCAGAGCUGCAGAGGGACCAUUAUCUUCAUAGCAGGCUUCCAGCACCUCUUCACUGGCCUCCUGCCACACCUGCCUGGCUGAUGUCUCCCUGCCUCAACCUACCUCUGGGAACCAUCCAGGAUCCAAGCUGCCAAGUCCGGUUCAUCUAGCACGUUCUGCUGCAGCUGCGAAGCCUUCAACUACCUCCUAGUAUCUAGAGAUACAGUUUAAUUGCCCAGGUAGAUGCUAUGUACCUCAGAACAAGACUUUGAACAGUCCUGCAACCUCAACUCCUCACUGCUAAGGAGAAAAGUCCACCCACUGUCCAAAGCACAGGGAGCACCGUUUGCUGUCCACCUACUAUUCCUGGGGGCAGGAGAAUGGAGACCGAGCCCAACAGAUCCAGAGGGGUGACAAGGGAGAACCUGACGAUCUAGAGUCACUAAACUCCUUUAAUAAUCCCCACUAUCUGUGAAUAUAGCAAAAGUCACUUUCUGUCCCAAUCCUUGGGGAUUGUUUACAUGUUAUAUAUGCAGUUUUCAUUACUGUUAUCCCACAAGCCAGAAAGAAAAAAAUCCACGUCUCACUCACUGUUAGUUAUUGCACAUUUCUGCGCUCUGAUCUUUGGGAAAGAGUGAUACGCUACUAUAACUUAUCUUCUUUUACAGCUGCUAGCAGUCCGCCAUCCUAAUACUCAAUAUUUAAUACCUGUGGCUUACUUAAUAAGCCACAAGAGGUCAACUACAUUUCUUCCUAACAGAAAUAAAAUGCUCAAAUUUUUCUAUAA